GCAUAUCAAUAAGCGGAGGAAAAGAAAUUAACUAAGAUUGCCUCAGUAGCGGCGAGCGAACAGGCAUCAGCUCAAGCCUUGAAUCUGGAGUAUAGUGCUUCAGAAUUGUAGUCUAAAGCGGCAGACAGAAGAUAAGGAGUUUGUGUAAUUUCCUUGGAAAGGGAAGCCAAAGAGGGUGAAAGCCCCGUUCCACAAUGCUCCUGUUGUAUGUCUGUUAGCAUAGAGUCGAGUUGUUUGGGAAU
RNAcentral lists this ribosomal RNA (242 nucleotides) under uncultured fungus. Its description in RNAcentral is "partial 26S ribosomal RNA". It matches the Rfam family "Eukaryotic large subunit ribosomal RNA", at positions 38 to 281 of the family's 3401-position model. Lineage: Eukaryota; Fungi. The record is from RNAcentral.